UACGGAAGGCAGCAGUGGGGAAUAUUGCACAAUGGGCGUAAGCCUGAUGCAGCCAUGCCGCGUGUAUGAAAAAGGCCUUCGGGUUGUAAAGUACUUUCAGUCGUGAGGAAGGUGUUAAGGUUAAUAACCUUAGCAAUUGACGUUAGCGACAGAAGAAGCACCGGCUAACUCCGUGCCAGCAGCCGCGGUAAUACGGAGGGUGCGAGCGUUAAUCGGAAUUACUGGGCGUAAAGGGCACGCAGGCGGUUAAUUAAGUUGGAUGUGAAAUCCCCGGGCUUAACCUGGGAAUGGCAUUCAAGACUGGUUAGCUAGAGUCUUGUAGAGGGGGUAGAAUUCCGAUGUGUAGCGGUGAAAUGCGUAGAGAUGUGGAGGAAUACCGGUGGCGAAGGCGGCCCUCUGGACAAAGACUGACGCUCAUGUGCGAAAGCGUGGGGAGCAAACG
RNAcentral lists this ribosomal RNA (442 nucleotides) under uncultured bacterium. Its description in RNAcentral is "bacterial SSU rRNA". It matches the Rfam family "Bacterial small subunit ribosomal RNA", at positions 340 to 774 of the family's 1533-position model. The record is from RNAcentral.